UCCGGUUUGAAACCGGCAGUCGCGUUAGACAUGGUAACUAACGCCGAGGGUUGCGCCACUUAAGGCAACACCUCACGGCACGAGCUGACGACAGCCAUGCACCACCUGUGCAGGCUCCGAAGAGCGCCCGCUUUCACGGGUUUCACCCUGCAUGUCAAGCCCAGGUAAGGUUCUUCGCGUCGCAUCGAAUUAAGCCGCAUGCUCCGCCGCUUGUGCGGGGCCCCGUCAAUUCCUUUGAGUUUUAGCCUUGCGGCCGUACUCCCCAGGCGGGGUGCUUAAUGCGUUAGCUUCGGCACGGACGGGGUCGAUGUCCGCCCACACCUAGCACCCAACGUUUACGGCUAGGACUAC
This 351-nucleotide unclassified non-coding RNA is filed under the name uncultured Actinomycetes bacterium. RNAcentral's name for it is "uncultured actinobacterium contains 16S-23S intergenic spacer region". The record is from RNAcentral. Lineage: Bacteria; Bacillati; Actinomycetota; Actinomycetes.